This 1028-nucleotide long non-coding RNA is filed under the name Vulpes vulpes (red fox). RNAcentral describes it as "lncRNA (ENSVVUG00000011871.1)". The record is from RNAcentral. Lineage: Eukaryota; Metazoa; Chordata; Mammalia; Carnivora; Canidae.
GGAAAAUCUUUAUUUGAUGGAAACUGAAAAACAUUAUUUCAUUAAAGCAAUCAGAUUUAUAACAGAGCAGAAUAUCAAAUUUACAAAAGAAUUAAAGCUAACAUAUGAGUUCUUAAAAAAAGAAAAAUAUCUUACAGUCAGCAAAAACUUCUGGUUAAGUGCAGAGCCUUCUGACACCCAGGGCCCUGGGGCGGAUUGCGGUGAGAGCACACUGAUGGCUCUUUUCAGCUCGAAAGCCUGAAGAGUCCACAAAGAAAGCAUAAGCCUUGUCCAGAGGCAGUAAAGAAAGUCUUCAUUUCAUUAAAGAACAACCCAUCCCAGAGAGCCUAACAGGCAUUAGCAGCCCUUUUAUUAAACGGAGGUCUGGGUUUCCAUCCAAGGGAGAAGCUCUUCCAGGCUAAGGGUGAACACUACCUCCCUGCACUCAGGCUCCUCUCCAGUCCCGGUACGUGGACUGCAGGGUCCUCUGCUCCCAGCUGUACCUCCUCACAAGCAGCACCUCCAGGAGGCUGGAGCGCCCUGGCAGGGCCUGGGGGAUGCUGUGGCCACCUGCCCCUGGGCAUUCCUUCAGGUUGUGGCUCUCAGCUCAAGCAGCACUAUGUGGGCAAUCGGCCACAGGCUGCUGAAGUAUGCGCGGGGAGAGUUCUAUCAGAGGGGAGGGAGAGGGAAAUUGCAACCACCACAACCCACCAAACCUCAAAGCUGAUGGUUGGCAUUGGCGUAGGGAGAGUGAUGGGGAAAACAGGAAAGGUAAGAGAGGUUCUGGCAGGAAGUGAGGAAUUAAGGAAAGGUGUGGAGAAUAGGCCCAGCCCUCUGGAACCCCAGCAGAUCCACUGGGAAGAGGAUGAAGGAGACCCACACCUGCAGGGGUGCCAUCUCCGGAGGAAGUCUCCAAGGGGAAGUGUCAAAGCUGCCCUGUCCUGGACCACUGCCUGGAGCUGUGAGGCCUGGGAGCGCCCACAAGGCCAUGCUCCAAACUCAUCCUCUUAUAUUUAUAUUUAUCUUUUCAUUUUGUACUUCAGUCUGUG